UACGACCAGCACACGGCCGCCCUGGCCAUGGAGCCCUUCCACCCCAUGGUGAACCUGGAGUGCUCGCGGGAUUUCCGGCCGUUCCUGUGCGCGCUGUACGCGCCGGUGUGCAUGGAGUACGGGCGGGUGACGCUGCCCUGCCGCCGCCUGUGCCAGCGCGCCCACAGCGAGUGCUCCAAGCUCAUGGAGAUGUUCGGCGUCUCCUGGCCCGAGGAUAUGGAGUGCACCAGGUUCCCGGACUGCGACGAGCCCUACCCUCGCCUGGUUGACCUCAACCUGGCGGGCGAGCCCACGGAGGAGGCGCCGAUGGCCGUGCAGAGGGAUUACGGCUUCUGGUGUCCCCGGGAGCUGAAAAUCGACCCCGAGCUGGGCUACUCCUUCCUCAGGGUGCGGGACUGCUCCCCUCCGUGCCCCAACAUGUACUUCCGCCGCGAGGAGCUCUCCUUCGCCCGCUACUUCAUCGGCGUCAUCUCCAUCGUCUGCCUCUCGGCCACCCUGUUCACCUUCCUCACCUUCCUCAUCGACGUCACGCGCUUCCGCUACCCGGAGCGCCCCAUCAUCUUCUACGCCGUCUGCUACAUGAUGGUGUCCCUCAUCUUCUUCAUCGGCUUCCUGCUGGAGGACCGCGUGGCCUGCAACGCCUCCAGCCCCUCGCAGUACAAGGCCUCCACGGUGACGCAGGGCUCGCACAACAAGGCCUGCACCAUGCUCUUCAUGGUGCUCUACUUCUUCACCAUGGCCGGCAGCGUCUGGUGGGUCAUCCUCACCAUCACCUGGUUCCUGGCCGCCGUGCCCAAGUGGGGCAGCGAGGCCAUCGAGAAGAAGGCGCUGCUGUUCCACGCCAGCGCCUGGGGCAUCCCGGGCACGCUCACCAUCAUCCUGCUGGCCAUGAACAAGAUCGAGGGCGACAACAUCAGCGGCGUGUGCUUCGUGGGGCUCUACGACGUGGACGCGCUGCGCUACUUCGUGCUGGCGCCGCUGUGCCUCUACGUGGUGGUGGGCGUGUCCCUGCUGCUGGCCGGGAUCAUCUCCCUCAACCGCGUGCGCAUCGAGAUCCCGCUGGAGAAGGAGAACCAGGACAAGCUGGUCAAGUUCAUGAUCCGCAUCGGCGUCUUCAGCGUGCUCUACCUCGUGCCCCUGCUGGUGGUCAUCGGCUGCUACUUCUACGAGCAGGCCUACCGGGGCGUGUGGGAGACCACGUGGAUCCAGGAGCGCUGCCGCGAGUACCACAUCCCCUGUCCCUUCCAGGUCACCCAGAUGAGCCGUCCAGACCUGAUUCUGUUCCUCAUGAAGUACCUGAUGGCCUUGGUGGUUGGCAUCCCCUCGGUGUUCUGGGUUGGGAGCAAGAAGACCUGCUUUGAGUGGGCCAGCUUCUUCCACGGGCGCAGGAAAAAGGAGGUCGUCAACGAGAGCCGCCAGGUGCUGCAGGAGCCGGACUUCGCGCAGUCGCUGCUGCGGGACCCCAACACGCCCAUCAUCCGCAAGUCGCGGGGCACCUCCACGCAGGGCACCUCCACGCACGCCUCGUCCACGCAGCUGGCCGUGCUGGACGAGCAGAGGAGCAAGGCGGGCAGCGUGCACAGCAAAGUCAGCAGCUACCACGGCAGCCUGCACCGCUCGCGGGACGGACGGUACACUCCCUGCAGCUACAGGGGCGUGGAGGAGCGGCUCCCUCACGGCAGCAUGUCGCGACUGACCGACCACUCGCGGCACAGCAGCUGCCACCGGCUCAACGAGCAGUCGCGGCACAGCAGCGUCAGGGACCUCAGCAGCAACCCAAUGACACACAUCACGCACGGCACCAGCAUGAACCGCGUCAUCGAGGAGGACGGCACCAGCGCCUGACCUUCCUCAGCGCGGGGACAGCGCUCGGAGUCAUCCUCAGCCUCAGCCUCAGCCUCAGCCGGGCUCGGCCUCUCCGCGCGGGACUUGAACCACUGGGUAUAAAGCUGGUUGUGUGCUCUGAACCUCUCUGGAGGUAAUUAUUUAUUUGAGAACUGUUCCUCGUCGGACACGACUGCUGAAUUUCUGAUUCUCUGUGGAAAACAAUCUCCCCCUUCCUUCUCUCUCCCCCUCUCCGUGUCCCUCCUUCCGUGGGCUCAGCCCCCAGAUCUCGGUGUCGGUGUGGGGUGGUGCUGAGAGUUGUUCUGAUGAGACUUGAGGGAACCUGCGAUGGUUGAAGGAAUCCCUCCCUCCGUGCACCUCCCUGCAGGGGACUCGCCCAGCGCUGCCCGAGGGACAUUCCUGCCAGCUGGUGACCCUGGAAACGCCACCGGCGUGAAAGGAAGCUCCUCCGAGGAUCACCAGCUCUUCCCAGAGCUGCCCAGGCUCGGUUUUCCACAGGGUGGGGGGAAGGGAGAGGCAGGGAAGAGCGAUUUUUUUAUAACUUGUACUGUCCUUGCUUUUUUACAAAAGACUAUUUAAAUUUUCUACUCGUUUACAAUUUCUGUAGGAAGAGAUGGGUUUUAAAAGCAGUUAUCUAGAUAAUAUUCAGCCAUUUAUUUUUUAGAGUCAUGUACAAAAGCUGAGAUUGCCUGUUCCUGAUCUAUUUAAAAAAAAAAGAUUAUCAGAGGAAUGCUGAAUUUGUGCCCCAAGCAGGAAUGUAGAGCCCGUCCCUGCAGCCAGAGCUGAGCCUGUUUACAAACCCCAGCAGCUGAGGCCAGAGGGACCAGGGGAGUUUAUCCAAGUAUUCCCCACCUUCCUUGUGAUGCCAGGGCUGGUUUGGGGAGGAUUCUCUGUGCUGAGCAAGAAUUCAGAGAUGGGUGGGAGAAACUGAGGCAGGAGCUGCCCCCAGAUGGGGACAAGGAGGAUGUGGCAGCUGGAAGCCCAGGGCAGUCCUUGAGGAGGAGACAGGAUCCCCAGUUCAGAUCUGCCUCUGCUGUGGUUGUUUCCAUCCCCUUCUGCGGAUUCAUGGCAGGGAAUUCUCAGUUUGGGCUUUUUUUGUGUGGAAAGGCUCCCUUGGGAUGCACUGGAGGCAGAAGUCAAGGAUGGUGCUGAAGAUCUUGGGGAGCAUCUUCUGUGGAGAUGGAUCCAGCACAGGGAACACUGCUGGCUGCAAACCUACCUCAGUAAUCACUGCUGGGAAACAAAUCCUGAUUUUUGCUUUGUCCUUCCAUGAUUCCCUCCCUGACCUGCUGGAGGCAAUUUGAGAAACCUUUGUGCACCAACCCCGGGGCAGGAGCUGCUCCACAAUUAACUCACUUUAAUUGCAGCUCAUAACCCAAGUGCUGUGGAAUCAAAGGCUCCCAGACUGAUCCCAAAUUGUCUCUCUUGCUUCCAGCGGGUCAGGAGGAGAGGGCAGAUGGAGCCCAGCGUGGAAUAACAACAAAGCUCUUUGUUGUCAGCCCCCGGGGCCCUGGGGCAGAGCAGGCUCUGCUUUGCCUGGUUGCUCAGCAAACAGCCCUGGGGCCAGCCCAGGGACAGUCCCAGCCUAAGGAUGGCCCUGGCCUAAGGACAGCCCCGGCCUAAGGACAGCCCCGGCCUAAGGAUGGCCCCGGCCUAAGGACAGUCCCGGCCUAAGGACAGCCCCGGCCUAAGGACAGCCCUGGCCUAAGGACAGUCCCGGUCUAAGGAUAGUUCUGGCCUAAGGACAGUUCCAGCCUAAGGAUGGCCCUGACCUAAGGACAGCCCUGGCCUAAGGACAGCCCUGGCCUAAGGACGGCCCCGGCCUAAGGACAGCCCUGGCCUAAGGACAGCCCUGGCCUAAGGACAGCCCCGGCCUAAGGACGGCCCUGGCCUAAGGACGGCCCUGGCCUAAGGACAGCCCCGGCCUAAGGACAGCCCCGGCCUAAGGACAGCCCCGGCCUAAGGACAGUCCUGGCCUAAGGAUGGCCCUGGCCUAAGGACAGCCCUGGCCUAAGGACAGUCCUGGCCUAAGGACAGUCCCGGCCUAAGGACAGCCCUGGCCUAAGGACAGCCCCGGCCUAAGGACAGCCCCGGCCUAAGGACAGUCCCGGCCUAAGGACAGCCCCGGCCUAAGGACGGCCCCGGCCUAAGGACAGCCCCGGCCUAAGGACAGUCCUGGCCUAAGGACAGCCCUGGCCUAAGGACAGUCCCAGCCUAAGGACAGUCCCGGCCCAGGGAUAACUGAACAUCCAAAGGUGUGGAAAAAUCCUUGGGAAUGACUUAAAGAGGGGAAGCUGCAGCUCCCUGGAAGCCCCAGGGGUGGAUGGAAACUUUGCUGUUUUCCAAUCCAGCUCCUCCUGACUCACUGCCUCAGAGGGGUGAUCUGGGAGAAAUCUGAAUAAGCUGAGUUUUCCUAAACACUGGAACUGAACUAAAUAAGCUCAAGGGUUUACGUUGAUCCUCUUGGCUCAACUUGCAGUAUUUUUUUUUUUAAUAAAUUAUAGCAAUGCUUUGACUUGUUCAGAGACAGGGAGGGGAACACUGUUGGAGCUUGGAGAAGGAUCCUGCUGGAGAUGUUGUUAAUGUGUGAGGCUCAAUCCCAGUCCUGCUUCCAGAUGGGAACAUCUGAGUGAUUCCUGGCUGAUCCCAAAGGGACAGGCUCCUGUCACCCCAGAGAGGGGAUUAAACUCAAACUGGGGCUCUGGCUGGGAUUUCUGCCUCCCUGCCCCCUCCCUUCUACCUUCAACACCUGAGCCAGCAGUUUGUGCUCUCCUGGCAGAGCAUUCCUCCCGGGAAGAGAGGAAUUCCUCCUCACCCAUGGCACAACGUCCCAGCUCUGGAACUGGGAAUGGAAUUGGGAAUUCCUCCUCACCCAUGGAACAGUGCCCCAGCUCUGCUGCAAUGGAACUGGGAAUUCCUCCUCACCCAUGGAACAGUGCCCCAGCUCUGCUGCAAUGGAACUGGGAAUUCCUCCUCACCCAUGGAACAACAUCCCAGCUCUGCUGCAAUGGAACUGGGAAUUCCUCCUCACCCAUGGAACAAUGCUCCAGCUCUGCUGCAAUGGAACUGGGAAUUCCUCCUUGACCAUGGAACAACGUCCCAGCUCUGCUGCAAUGGAACUGGGAAUUCCUCCUCACCCAUGGAACAGUGCCCCAGCUCUGCUGCAAUGGAACUGGGAAUUCCUCCUCACCCAUGGAACAGUGCCCCAGCUCUGCUGCAAUGGAACUGGGAAUUCCUCCCUCACCCAUGGAACAAUGCCCCAGCUCUGCUGCAAUGGAACUGGGAAUUCCUCCUUGACCAUGGAACAGUGUCCCAGCUCUGCUGCAAUGGAACUGGGAAUUCCUCCUUGACCAUGGAACAGUGCCCCAGCUCUGCUGCAAUGGAACUGGGAAUUCCUCCUCACCCAUGGAACAAUGUCCCAGCUCUGCUGCAAUGGAACUGGGAAUUCCUCCUCACCCAUGGAACAAUGUCCCAGCUCUGCUGCAGUUCCCCAGCUGGGGCUCACGGGGCUGCAGCUCCCAAAUCAUCGUGUGCAGGGGCUCUGAAAUUCAUCCCAGUUUGAAUGUGGCCCCAGCAGCAUCUCAGGCAGGGGCACCAAGAGUCCAGGAGUGUUUUUGGGGUGUUUUCCUGCCUGGUGGGAGCUCCAGCCCGGGUUCCUGGUGUGUGGGAUUGGUGCCAAGCUUUAAAUUCCCCCCGAGCUGGAAGCCCUGGCCAGGAGGGCGUUCCUGGAAUGCCCGAGGUGCUCUGGGCUCCCUGUGUGUCCCUGCAGCUGAACAGCUCCUCGUGGGGCCCCUGCAGCCCCCAGGAGCUGGAUCCCCUCUCCGGGAGCAGGCAGGGAGCUGGGCAGUGCCCGGCUUCCCCAGCUCACCCCAAACUCCAUCCCUGUCCCUCCGGUGCACACGAUGGCUGCAACCCCAAAUCUCUGCUCUGUGGAAUUGCUCUGUCAAAGCUUCCUGUAAAUGCACAGCUCCUCAUUCCCAGUGUCCCAGGGAUCUCCUGCUUUACCAACCCCACUGCACUGACAGCAGAUCCCCCUGAGACUGUGGUGUUCCCUCUUUAUUAACCCCUUCAGCUCCUGUGAAAUAUCCCAGAUCUGAGCUGCGGUCCCCUUGCAUGGAAGAGGCUGCUGCUCUUUUUUACAGCAUAAACAACCCAGCAGCAGCAGCAGCAGCAGCAAACAGCCCCGUUUGGGUGUCUGUGUGUUUGUGUUCUCCUUUUCUCCCAGCUCAGACCCAGAUUUGGUGCUGGCAGCUUUAAACUCUGGGAGGGCCUGGGGAGCACAGGGUGGCACUGGGAGCUGAAAUGCAGCUGAAAUCCAGUCAUGGCCAAAUCCAGCACUGCUCCCGAGGGGUUCCAGCAAGGAGGGAAGGGAAAACCCCUCAGGAAGGGCACAAGGAUGAGAGCCAGGUCCACCCAGAGCAGUGCCCACAAGGAGAGAAGGGAAAAUCCCUCAGGAAGGGCCAGGCCAGCCCAGAGCAAUGACCACAAGGAAAGAAGGGAAAAUCCCUCAGGAAGGGCCCAAGGAUGAGAGAGCCAGGCCAGCCCAGAGCAGCGCCCACAAGGAGAGGAAACCCCUCAGGAAGAGCCAGGCCAGCCCAGAGCAGCGCCCACAAGGAAGGAAGGAAAGGGAAAAUCCCUCAGAAGGAGCCAGGCCAGCCCAGAGCAAUGACCACAAGGAAAGAAAGGAAAGUCCUUCAGGAAGGGCCCAAGGACAGGAGCCAGGCCAGCCCAGAGCAGUGCCCACAAGGAGAGGAAACCCCUCAGGAGGAAUCAGGCCAGGCUAGAGCAGCACCCACAAGGAAGGAAGGAAAGAGAAAAUCCCUCAGGAGGAGCCAGGCCAGCCUAGAGCAGUGCCCACAAGGAGGGAAAAUCCCUCAGGAGGAGCCAGGCCACCCUAGAGCGGUGCCCACAAGGAUGGAAGGAAAGGGAAAAUCCCUCAGGAAGAGCCAGGCCACCCUAGAGCAGUGCCCACAAGGAUGGAAGGAAAGGGAAAAUCCCUCAGGAAGAGCCAGGCCAGCCCAGAGCAGUGCCCACAAGGAUGGAAGGAAAGGGAAAAUCCCUCAGGAAGAGCCAGGCCACCCUAGAGCAGCGCCCACAAGGAUGGAAGGAAAGGGAAAAUCCCUCAGGAAGAGCCAGGCCAGCCCAGAGCAGGGCCCACAAGGAUGGAAGGAACGGGAAAACCCCUCAGGAAGGGCCAGGCCAGCCCAGAGCAGUGCCCACAAGGAAGGAAGGAAAGAGAAAAUCCCUCAGGAGGAGCCAGGCCAGCCUAGAGCAGUGCCCACAAGGAUGGAAGGAACGGGAAAAUCCCUCAGGAGGAGCCAGGCCAGCCCGGAGCAGGGCCCACCCUCCAGGGCAGCCGAUUCCCCAGCCCAGCUCCGGGGCACUGAGGAUCCCGGAGAGCCGCAGGGAGCUCCCUCCGUGUGCUGACAGCAGGGCACAGGGGACAUCCCCAGGGCCUCCUGGAGCAGCAGAAUGUCCAGAUGAAUGUGAAGCUUUACCCCCAUCCCCUCGUGCUUCUUCCCUAACGGGAUCAGGAUUGAUUUCCCCCCAGGCGCGGCGUUUUCCCGGAUUCCGCUGAACUCGGUGCAUGAACCGCCUGUGGCAGCCCCUCCCUCGGCCCUGCCGUGUCGGGUGCCCGUGCUGUGACAGCGCCCAGCUCCCCGGGAGAGGGCACGGAGCUCCCAGGAGAUUUUUACGUCUUGGAAUGUGUGGGGCAGUCCCCGCCCGUGGCUGACCCCACUUGCACUCGGCUCUUGGUAGACUUGUUUACAGUAGUCCAGUGUCGGUUUUGUAACGUUUAAUUUUUAGCACUUUAACUGUGAGUGUACAAAUUGGUUCCCUUGUAGUUGGUGUACAUUUUCAUUUUAGACCUUUGGAAGUUUUUAAUAAAACGAUGGAAAAAACUC
RNA transcript from Zonotrichia leucophrys gambelii, 7751 nucleotides. It is a transcript of the gene named frizzled class receptor 3, with no coding region annotated. The record is from RefSeq and is a predicted model, not a curated record. Lineage: Eukaryota; Metazoa; Chordata; Aves; Passeriformes; Passerellidae. The transcript is spliced from 7 exons.